UUACUCCUACGGGAGGCAGCAGCUAAGAAUCUUCCGCAAUGGACGAAAGUCUGACGGAGCGACGCCGCGUGGGUGAAGAAGGCAGGAAUGUUGUAAAGCCCUUUUAUAGCUGAGGAAUAAGGUCGGGAGGCAAUGCCCGGCUGAUGACGUUAAGCUAUGAAUAAGCCCCGGCUAAUUACGUGCCAGCAGCCGCGGUAAUAA
Molecule: ribosomal RNA, 201 nt
Filed under: uncultured Spirochaeta sp.
Lineage: Bacteria; Pseudomonadati; Spirochaetota; Spirochaetia; Spirochaetales; Spirochaetaceae
Description: partial 16S ribosomal RNA
Rfam family: Bacterial small subunit ribosomal RNA
Source: RNAcentral